Molecule: unclassified non-coding RNA, 341 nt
Filed under: soil metagenome
Description: partial contains 5.8S ribosomal RNA, internal transcribed spacer 2, and large subunit ribosomal RNA
Rfam family: 5.8S ribosomal RNA (bases 1-120)
Source: RNAcentral
GAUGAAGAACGUAGCGAAAUGCGAUAAGUAGUGUGAAUUGCAGAAUUCAGUGAAUCAUCGAAUCUUUGAACGCACAUUGCGCCCUUUGGUAUUCCAAAGGGCAUGCCUGUUCGAGCGUCAUUUGUACCCUCAAGCUUUGCUUGGUGUUGGGCGUCUUGUCUCUAGCUUUGCUGGAGACUCGCCUUAAAGUAAUUGGCAGCCGGCCUACUGGUUUCGGAGCGCAGCACAAGUCGCACUCUCUAUCAGCAGAGGUCUAGCAUCCACUAAGCCUUUUUUUCAACUUUUGACCUCGGAUCAGGUAGGGAUACCCGCUGAACUUAAGCAUAUCAAUAAGCGGAGGA